This 495-nucleotide ribosomal RNA is filed under the name uncultured bacterium. RNAcentral's name for it is "partial 16S ribosomal RNA". It matches the Rfam family "Bacterial small subunit ribosomal RNA", at positions 28 to 507 of the family's 1533-position model. The record is from RNAcentral.
GAUGAACGCUGGCGGCGUGCCUAAUACAUGCAAGUAGAACGCUGAAGGAGGAGCUUGCUCUUCUGGAUGAGUUGCGAACGGGUGAGUAACGCGUAGGUAACCUGCCUGGUAGCGGGGGAUAACUAUUGGAAACGAUAGCUAAUACCGCAUGACAACAGUUAUUGCAUGAUAACUGUUUAAAAGGGGCAACUGCUCCACUACCAGAUGGACCUGCGUUGUAUUAGCUAGUUGGUGAGGUAACGGCUCACCAAGGCGACGAUACAUAGCCGACCUGAGAGGGUGCUCGGCCACACUGGGACUGAGACACGGCCCAGACUCCUACGGGAGGCAGCAGUAGGAAAUCUUCGGCAAUGGACGGAAGUCUGACCGAGCAACGCCGCGUGAGUGAAGAAGGUUUUCGGAUCGUAAAGCUCUGUUGUAAGAGAAGAACGAGUGUGAGAGUGGAAAGUUCACACUGUGACGGUAUCUUACCAGAAAGAGACGGCUAACUACGUG